Molecule: non-coding RNA, 2561 nt
Organism: Podarcis muralis (Common wall lizard)
Lineage: Eukaryota; Metazoa; Chordata; Lepidosauria; Squamata; Lacertidae
Source: RefSeq, a predicted model, not a curated record
GAAUUUUAUUAUUAUUAUUAUUAUUAUUAUUAUUAUCCAAUAUCUUUGUGUCAAAUCCAUUAAUUUUUUUGUCUGAUUUAAAAUUUUUGUUUACCUGGUAAUAUUGUAGUCAGUUCACACAUGCCUGCUUUAGUUCUUCGUAUUUUUUAAUUUUAAAUUGGUUGUUUUCUUCUAAUAUUUCCUUGUAUGUUAGCCAAUUGAUAGCCAUGUUUUUCUUUUUCACUGCUGUUGCCUCUACCGGUGACAACCACCAAGGGGUUUUGUGUUCCAGUAAUUUUUUAUUUCUUUCCCAUACAGUAAAUAGAGAUUUCCUUCUUAUGUGAUUGAGGAAUCGUCCUUGAAUUUUAACUUUAUUAUAUCCCAGAUAACUGUGCCAGCCGAACCUAUUGUCCCAGACUUUGAUGUCUAAUAUAUUUGCAUUUUAAACAUUUUAAAAAACCAUCCAUUCUUUAAGCCUUCAGGUGAGCAAUUGUUCUGUUGCUGAGAGGAAGACGAUUGCGAGGUCUGUAAGACUCUGACGAUAAUGGAGUCUGGAGGAGACUGACCUCUGCUUCGAGGAGACUUGGAGGAAGGCAGAGGUGGUUAGUUUGUAUUUUACUUUAUUUCUGACAUUUCCCCCUUUGUUUCACCUGUAGAGUUGCCAGCCCAGGGCCGACUGUUGGAGCUCCACUCUUUGAGGAGGUUCACGGUGGAGCCCCUUGGGAAGAUGAUCUUCAUGUGGCCGGGCGAACUUGGGAAGGGUACCUCAGCCUCCACCAUCUUUGGCAUUUAAAGCCGAGCUCUGGGAGCCAGUGGGGGGCAGUCCUUGGAUAGGACAUGCCAACAUGCCCCCCAAGGGGACCUUGGGGGCCAGAGAGACAGCCACUGGCACCCACAGGUUCACCUCUCACCCCCACCAAAAUCAGGCUUGAAAGAAGCAUCUUUUGGUAGCCAACAGAAUAGGGGCAGUUUGGGCUUGGGAGGGUGGGGUAUGGCAGCUCCAGGGGUUUCCCAUCCCUUAAGUGGCCAUUCUCUUCUUUCCCUUUCCCUUCCACCCAGACGGAGUCCUCAUCAAGGCUCUGAGCCUGGCCUUGGCUGGGGAGGGCGGGGUAUUAAUAAUAAUAAUAUCAUCAUCAUCAUCAUCAUCAUCAUCAUCAUCAUCAAAGACCUUGAGACAGGGGAGAGGGAGAUCUUGCCAAGUUAAGUCCAGCCAAAAAGAAUGACAACCAUGGGCAUAGCCAGGAUUUUGGUUAGGGGGGGCCUUUCAUUUUGGGGGCAGGACCUCAGUUUGCUAUGUAUUUUUAUUGGUUUUUAUUGAUGGGGGUCAGCUUCCCCUCCCUGCCCCUCUGGCUAUGCCUAUGGUGACAAGAGACUUCCCAGGCAAGUUCAGAUACAUGAAUAAGAUGGGAGAAAGCUCUUCUCUUUCGGCUCAAACCAGGGACCUCUCCCUGCAAAUGGCACAUGGUUGCUAUUUGACAUCACAAUGAAUUUAUUUUGUACACAUAGGGGUGCCUCCCCACCAUGCCAGGUUCCUGAGACGCACAGGCAUAUCUGGCAGGACGGCACCAAACAAAGGGUCCUGGACCAAAGUAUUUUCUGAGAUCUUUUUGAUAACUGGGCCAACAGUUCACCCUUCCCCUUGUCUGGCUCUUUUGAAUUUGUAUAUAACAAGGAACUGAUUUUGUAUCUGUUGACACUGGCUGGGACCACAACUGCCAAAUUUUGGAAGACCUCAGCAGAGCAGAUUCCUCGCUCCUUCCCAAAGAUGAGUCUGUCAAGGCCUUUCUUCCGUGGAGAUCAGGAUUGGCAACUGGUGUCCCUGGGACCAAACUGCCCUCCUGAGACAAAUCAGCUUGUCUAAGCCACAAACAUGUCUUGAGGAAAUGGAUUUCUUGGAUUCUCCCUCCUCCCUCCUCCCUCCAAAGCCCAACUGCCUUUAACUGUCACACACAUCUGUCCCAACUGUCACCUGCCUAUCACACUCCAUCCUCAGCCAAUCAGCAUGCAGCACACCCCAAGGUUCUAUCCUCCUCUCAUAGUCCACCCACUGCUCUCAUUUUACCUUAUAUCCCACAAAUGUUUCUCUACACAACAUUUUACUACAUGUCCCUUAAUAUAUAAACACCACACACAAAAACACACACACACACCCCUGAACGAUUUGUGUCUGGCCACCUCCUCUUUCCUUGGGAGUUUUUAAACAGAGUAUGUAUGGCCAUUCUAAGAGAAUGAGGGAGGUGUUAAUGAUAAAAUCUGGUGAAGAAGAAUGCCUUUUCAGGAGAUGAAAAGGUUUUACAGAGCAGUCCUACAUGUUAUGUACUCAGAAGGCUGGUGGAGGCAGGAAUUGCUGAAUAUCGAGUGUCGCUUCUUGUAUAAAUAAGUGAAAAUAAGAAAAUAUUUUGAGGGGGGAUUGCAUUCCAGCAAGCCCCAGCAAAGUAAGAUAAAAGCAUUAAAAAUGGCAGCGGUCCAGUUGAUGCAUUCGUUUGAAACACAGCAGCAAGAUUAAACGUUAAGAGAUUUGUCAAUUUUAUUUAAAGGCUUCCCCUGAAAAGAUACAAAGUAGCGGGCCUCCAUCAGGAGAC